GCGUGCAUGCGUGCGCUUGCGCAUGUGCACGACGAGGGCUCAUGCGGACCGAAGCUCUCCGGUGCUUCGGCACGUCCCUGUAUGCUUGCAUGGCGGGGAGGAAGUACCCUAUGACAGGACGCCAGCAUUCUUUUUGAUGCCGUUCUAGUUUUAAAGGUUUUGUAACUUCGCAAAACAAUGGAUAUGAAGAGAUAAAAUAAUUAGGGAGGGAAAAAACCUACCUUUUUUCUUGGAAGACAUUGCCUCUUUAUUGUGGAGGAAAUUGUUUGGUACUAGUUGGCCAGAAUCAAGGAAACGAAGAGUAGGACUCAGUCUUGCCCUGCUUGUUAACCACCGGUCAUGGAUCCAAGAGCAGUUCCCCAAUGGGCUGAAUGCCAGUGUUCUCUCUUGGCAAACUGGACACAGUCUGACCCGAUGGGAAUGUGGAGGCAGGGGACAGAAUGAGUUGCUCAUGUCUAUUGCUACAAGAACAAGGAGAUGAGUAAUUCUGUGUGAAGUUCAGCGAGAUGUUGAAGAUACCAUUGCAAAUGAGACGAGGUUCUUGACCCCCCAACUCCCGGAGAUGAGCCAUGGAGGAGAAAAGGCUGCGCAGCAUCUGCCUUUCUGGAGCCAGGGGAGGCUGCAGGGAGAAGAGGACAACUGCCAUGGAUCCUGAAAGAAAGUGACCAGAAAGUUAUUGGCUGUGGAAAACUGAAUCACCAGUUAGAAUCCUAUAAGAUGUCUGUACUCCAGACUUUUCUCAAGCCAAGGGUUUGUACUAUACAGGAAUUAGUGGAAUGAGUGUCUUUAAACUAUUUCAUACAUUAUCUCCUUAACUAUAAUCUCUUUGACCAUUUAUAAGGUGUAUCUAAAGUGAUGAAGUGAACGGAUAUCAGGAAAACAGGAAGACUAUGGAGAAAAAGACAGAAAUUUGAGAGGUUCUCCUCCUCACUGCUCUGGCUGCAUACCCUCACCUCUCGGGUCUGAGUGUAUCUGUAAUCCCUGGCUCUGUCUUGUCCACAUUCCAGUCCCUUGGUUGCCAGUGGAUUGAGUACUGCCCCAUUCUGCCAUGCAAGUCCAGAAUACAACACAAUACUGGGCCUAUUCCUUUGCAUUCCACAAUACAACCAACACUCAGCCCAUUCCUUUCCUGAAUACAUGGUAAUCUUUAGGCACUUAACACUGCUUACUUGAAAUUUUCCAAUGUGGCUUUCCUAUUCCCAGGUUCUUGAUGCCCUCUCUGUCAAUAUCCAAGUAUAAAGGAGAAAACAUUGCUUCUAGAUUAAGCCUCACCUGACAGCAGUACUGAUGGAAGCUUCGGAAUCUUUUCAGCUUUGAAGUGUUGGUUUUAAAAAUGCAGCAUUUACCGGAGCUCUUGGAAAAUGCCACAUCCACAACAAAGCCCUUUUUUAUCACCCAUGUGGGAUUGCAUGUCUCUUGGGCACCUCCCUGUGCUGUGUGUCUGAGGGGGUUUGUUUGACUCCCAUUCUUAGAUGGUGUUCUGCUGAAGUAACCUCAUGGUUAAGAAUCAGUCUGUGUCUGGGGGUCAUAGGUUUGAAAUAAUUUGGCAACUUUUUUGGAAACUGCAUUUUUUACACUUCAUAAUAUACGUGUUUGUUUUCAUGUAAAAUAAUGCACAGCUUUUCAGUUGAUGUGUGCCAGGACCCACUGGAAAUUCAGCAAAUGGUCUCCAGGUAUGUGUUGAGAUCUGGAAUGCUCCUAGGCAGGUUGUCUCCAGCUUUAAGUGGACCUGUCACUAUACCUGAGUGCAUGCACGUAUAUCAGCACUUUCUGUUUGCCACUGUGUGACAGGCAUUAAAAAACACUUCAUAGUUGGUUCCUUACACAUGUCUUAUCUCCUGUUGUCUUGCAUGUGAGAAGCAUGUCCCUGCCAUGUCACUUGGGGACAGACAAAGCUGGGCUUUUACUCAUCUAUGAAUCCCCAGUAUUGAUGUGUAUGAUGGCUUGAAUACCUCCUCAGUAGAUAUCUGCUCCAGCCAGUUGAAUUGAAUGAAAAAGAGAGGAAAGUGAAUCACCAAAUCAAAUCAGACCCCUCAUUGCAAAGCUGCAAGGAUCCUGGAGUUUUCAUUACACCUGCUAGGGUGUUAGGCUCACUCCAGAAGCAAUGCCUUCUCCUUCACCUCAUUUUCUUCUUUUCUUUAGAUGGGCCUCUGUA
This is a long non-coding RNA of Mustela erminea (ermine), 2155 nucleotides long. RefSeq lists it as uncharacterized. The record is from RefSeq and is a predicted model, not a curated record. Lineage: Eukaryota; Metazoa; Chordata; Mammalia; Carnivora; Mustelidae. The transcript has 3 exons.